GAUUACCCGCUGAACUUAAGCAUAUCAGUAAGCGGAGGAAAAGAAACUAAACAGGAUUCCCUCAGUAACGGCGAGUGAACUGGGAAAUGUCCAUCGCUWAAUCAUUUUGCMUCARRCAUYAUGAGGUGUAGCGUAUAAGCCGUGAUCUUUGAUCAGUURUCUCAAACAAGUCCYCUUGACAGRGGUUCCAAAGAAGGUGCAAGUCCUGUACAUUGRGAUWACUGRUUGAUAUUUGCGURCUUUWGAGUCGGGGUGUUUGUGAAUGCAGCA
RNAcentral lists this ribosomal RNA (270 nucleotides) under Meloidogyne hapla. RNAcentral's name for it is "partial 28S ribosomal RNA". It matches the Rfam family "Eukaryotic large subunit ribosomal RNA", at positions 19 to 287 of the family's 3401-position model. Lineage: Eukaryota; Metazoa; Nematoda; Chromadorea; Rhabditida; Meloidogynidae. The record is from RNAcentral.